Molecule: transfer RNA, 72 nt
Filed under: Angiostrongylus costaricensis
Lineage: Eukaryota; Metazoa; Nematoda; Chromadorea; Rhabditida; Metastrongylidae
Rfam family: tRNA
About the family: Transfer RNA (tRNA) molecules are approximately 80 nucleotides in length. Their secondary structure includes four short double-helical elements and three loops (D, anti-codon, and T loops).
Source: Rfam by way of RNAcentral
UCCGUUGUGGUCUAGGGGUUAGGAUUUACGGCUCUCACCCGUAAGGCCUGGGUUCGAUUCCCGGCAACGGAA